AGAACGAACGCUGGCGGCAUGCCUAACACAUGCAAGUCGAACGAGACCUUCGGGUCUAGUGGCGCACGGGUGCGUAACGCGUGGGAAUCUGCCCUUGGGUUCGGGAUAACAGUUGGAAACGACUGCUAAUACCGGAUGAUGUCUUCGGACCAAAGAUUUAUCGCCCAAGGAUGAGCCCGCGUAGGAUUAGCUUGUUGGUGAGGUAAGAGCUCACCAAGGCGACGAUCCUUAGCUGGUCUGAGAGGAUGAUCAGCCACACUGGGACUGAGACACGGCCCAGACUCCUACGGGAGGCAGCAGUGGGGAAUAUUGGACAAUGGGCGAAAGCCUAGAUCCAGCAAUGACCGCGUGAGUGAUGAAGGCCUUAGGGUUGUAAAGCUACGUUUACCCGGGAUGAUAAUGACAGUACCGGAGAAUAAGCCCCGGCUAACGUCCGUGACCUAGCAGCCGACGU
This 454-nucleotide ribosomal RNA is filed under the name uncultured soil bacterium. RNAcentral describes it as "bacterial SSU rRNA". It matches the Rfam family "Bacterial small subunit ribosomal RNA", at positions 26 to 521 of the family's 1533-position model. The record is from RNAcentral.